GGACAAGGCUGACUGCACUAGAGAGAUGUAUAGCUAUUGCUAGUUGUUUCUACUCUAAAAAAUGGAACAAUAUCGAUCCGCUCGAAUAAAAUUCUGGGUAAAUUUAUGAUAAUGACAUUGUUUACCCAUAAGUCUUGACCAAGUUACGUGCCAGCAGUCGCGGUAAGACGUAGAAGACAAGUGUUAUUCAUAUUUAAUGGGUUUAAAGGGUACCUAGACUGCAAGUUAAGCCUAAAAAGGGAACUGAUUUGCUAGAGUUACUAAUGAAGAAGUUUUAAAGUACUAGAGGAGUAGAGAUAAAAUCCGAUGAUACCUUUUUUUUGCGAAAACUUCGGCACAGGUAUAGGUGAAAACAUCUUCUUAUAGGAUAACUGACGUUGAGGGACGAAGGCUUUUUACAGCGAACAGGAUUAGAGACCCUGGUAGUAAAAGCAGAAAAUGAUGAGUGUCAUAGAUUAGAUAAAAAUUUAUUCUAUAAAUGAAAGUGUAAGCACUCCACCUCAAGAGUAUUUUGGCAACAUUGGAACUGAAAUCAUUAGACCGUAUUUGAAACCAGUAGUGAAGUAUGUUGUUUAAUUUGAUAACCCGCAAAAAACCUUACCACAACUUGAAUGUUUAUUCACUUUAUCUGUGUGAUAAAGUAAAUAGAUACAAGUGUUGCACGGCUGUCUACAGUUAAUGUCGUCAGACUAUGGUUAGUUCCGUUAAAUUAACGCAAUCCCUUGCUCUAUUUUUGAAUAGAGUCGCUCUCCGAUAUAUUGGAUAUGAUAACAGGGAACAAGACAAGUCAUCAUGGCCUUAAUGUUGUGGGCUAUAACGUUGCCACAUAAAAAAAAAAAGGUUGGUGAAGAACCGG
RNAcentral lists this ribosomal RNA (856 nucleotides) under Micarea czarnotae. RNAcentral's name for it is "partial small subunit ribosomal RNA". It matches the Rfam family "Bacterial small subunit ribosomal RNA", at positions 384 to 1260 of the family's 1533-position model. The record is from RNAcentral. Lineage: Eukaryota; Fungi; Ascomycota; Lecanoromycetes; Lecanorales; Micareaceae.